GGAAGCUUGCCCAUCUUUGAAAUCUUUAUGAAUACAAUAGUAUCAACUCUCAUUGCCAUUUCUCUUGCUUAAUAUUUCUCAAGCAGAGACUCAAGAGGAAUGAAGGUGGGGGAGGUAAUGAAAUUCCCUUUUGCUCUGCCAUGGGGAAUGUGAGGGCUGCUGCAGCUUGGGGAUGGACUCUUGCUCCACAGACUACAGAUAUACCCUUGUAGCCAAAGUAAUCCUUUUUGACUGCCUGUCCGGGUAGAAAAGAGGCUUCUUCAUAAGUGGAUUAAGUGAUCGCAAAAUCUCCUUCUGCCUGGAUUCUACAGCCUUAUGAUGACCUUACUGUCCCCCAUGCCUGGGACUCUCCUUCUCUGCCUCUUAUCUUUCCUGCCUUUCUUCAAGUACCAGGAAUGAGAUGCACAAGAGUAUUGGGCAAGACAGAGAUGAAAGAACAAGUAACAAGAGCAUCUUUCCUUGGCUGAAGUUCCCUGUGCAGAACAUCAGCACCAGGAUCAAUAGGACCUCAACUGUAUGAUGGGAAGAAAACAAACCCAAGGAUGGACUAAUGUGGACUAAUGGCCCACAUCUGAUUUCUGAAUUGGACUGUGUAUUCUGUCAGAGCCUCAAUGACAAGGUCUCAUAGCUCUUCUUAGCCACCCAAAUGAGUCAUGUUUCUCUAUACCUCACAAGAAGUUUUCAUUAUCCUCCUGGUCAUUAUUGCUUCCUGGUCAGUCUUAUCUUACAUUUUAAAACUUCUCCCAGGUAUCUUCAAGGCUAAGUUGAGCUGAAUCUUCCAUUUCAAAUUUAAAAUAAACAUAGAGACCAUAAAGCAUAAGUAUGAAUUUACCAAGGAGUAUUGGUCCACAUUUCUUCAUUAGAACCUCUCUCCUUUAGACCCCAAAAUUGAAAGACUAAAGAUUCAUGCAUACAAGUAUCAUGCCAUUUAGUAGUUCAAAUUUUAUAGUGUGAAGCUUCUUUAAUGGAGAUAGCCACAGUUAUGUCUGUGUAGCCUUAGAAAGGUCUCUUAGUCUGUCUAAGCCUUGGGUUUUUUGGAGAGGAUUUUGUAUUGUUACCCACAAUAUAAGGGGGUAGGACUAAGGUCCUUACCAGUUCUAGUUACGGGAUACUAAAAAAAUAAAGAGAUUACAAACUGAAUCAGUGGAAGUAGAAACUAUCUUAAUCACAGAUUCUUUAUGUAUUGAAAUGGUAACUUCUUUUGUCUUAUGAAUAGCCACACUCUAGAUUGACCAAAAAGAUUUUUUUUUUAAGUUAACAGAAUCUUCUGCAUAUUUAAAGCACUAUUCAGUAAUAUAUGUAUAUGAGAAGGAGUUGGGGGAAAUAGGAUUGAGAAUGCUAAUUCAGUUCUAUUUCUAGUCCUACUCACAAUCAGAGGCUUUAGAAUUACUUUUGCCCUGUAAUUUGUAUAAAGCAUCAGGGGUAUUCUGCAGAAGCCUUUCCACAAAAGGCAUUUAGUUGCCAUGCUUAACUAUCUCAGUUUAGAAUGGAUGGUGAUAGCAGACAGAAUUGAACAUAUAAAAGGAGAACAUGGCAUCUGUCUAUGCCCUUCUUUAUGGUGAAAGACGAACCUGUUGAUGGCAUAAUAAUCAAAAUUAGUGUGAGCCAGUUCUAGCUAAGAAUCCCCUUCUCUGUUAGAGCAGGGUGGACUUAAAAAGCAAGCCCCCAUCCAUAGUCCUUUGGUAAACAAUCAUUUUCUCUGUUUCUAUUGUUUCAUAGAUUUCUCUCCAAAUUUAUUAGGAUUUUUUUCUUAUAAUUCUUUUUUUUUUAUUUUAAAAUGUUUUACUGCUAUUUUUGUCAUGAAAUCACAGUAAUUUCUGGGGAAGAAGAGAGCAAAAAAGCAACUCUCCAACCCCUUCCAGUGAGAGCCUUCCUUUAUAACAAAAAUAAAUAAUCUCAUCAUUGAAUACAAUUAUAAAGUGAUGACAUAUGACAAAAGGCCCUCACCUCCCUUUAAUGAAAAGUUAUGUUUUAGUCUUUGUUCUCCAGGGCCUUUAAUGUUUUUCAAUUACUUCCUGCUAGUAUUAUUUUGAUUUAUAUUGUGACAGUUAUUGUUUAUAUUAUGCAUAUUGCAUAUCUUUUAGUUCUAUUUGUUUUACUCUGUAUCAAUAUAUAAAAAUCUUCCUAUGUUUCUCUAAA
Long non-coding RNA from Monodelphis domestica (gray short-tailed opossum), 2139 nucleotides. RefSeq lists it as uncharacterized. NCBI's taxonomy places the organism in Eukaryota, Metazoa, Chordata, Mammalia, Didelphimorphia, Didelphidae. The record is from RefSeq and is a predicted model, not a curated record.